UACAGAGGUGGCAAGCGUUGUUCGGAAUUACUGGGCGUAAAGGGCGCGUAGGCGGCCCUUCAAGUCCCGUGUGAAAUCCCUCGGCUCAACUGAGGAAUUGCACGGGAAACUGUUUGGCUUGAGUUCGGGAGAGGGAAGCGGAAUUCCGGGUGUAGCGGUGAAAUGCGUAGAUAUCCGGAGGAACACCGGUGGCGAAGGCGGCUUCCUGGACCGACACUGACGCUGAGGCGCGAAAGCUAGGGGAGCAAACGGG
Molecule: ribosomal RNA, 253 nt
Filed under: uncultured bacterium
Lineage: Bacteria
Description: partial 16S ribosomal RNA
Rfam family: Bacterial small subunit ribosomal RNA
Source: RNAcentral